UGUCUUGAAACACGGACCAAGGAGUCAAGGUUCUGCGCGAGUGUCUGGGUGCCAAGCCCGUGCGCGUAAUGAAAGUGAGCAGGGGCGGGAGCCCCCCGGGGCGCACCGCCGACCGAUCCCGACGUGCUCCGACGGAUUUGAGUAGGAGCGUCGAGCCUUGGACCCGAAAGAUGGUGAACUAUGCCUGGAUAGGGUGAAGCCAGAGGAAACUCUGGUGGAGGCUCGCAGCGGUUCUGACGUGCAAAUCGAUCGUCGAAUCUGGGCAUGGGGGCGAAAGACCAAUCGAACCAUCUAGUAGCUGGUUGCCGCCGAAGUUUCCCUCAGGAA
RNAcentral lists this ribosomal RNA (327 nucleotides) under uncultured Sordariomycetidae. Its description in RNAcentral is "eukaryotic LSU rRNA". It matches the Rfam family "Eukaryotic large subunit ribosomal RNA", at positions 650 to 979 of the family's 3401-position model. The record is from RNAcentral. Lineage: Eukaryota; Fungi; Ascomycota; Sordariomycetes.